UUACGGGAGGCAGCAGUAGGGAAUGUUGCGCAAUGGGCGAAAGCCUGACGCAGCAACGCCGCGUGAGGGACGAAGGCCUUCGGGUCGUAAACCUCUUUCCUGAGGGACGAGACAAGGACGGUACCUCAGGAAUCAGUCUCGGCUAACUACGUGCCAGCAGCCGCGGUAAAACGUAGGAGGCGAGCGUUAUCCGGAUUUACUGGGCGUAAAGCGCACGCAGGUGGCACGGCAAGUCGGUUGUGAAAGCUCCUGGCUUAACUGGGAGAGGCCAAGCGAAACUGUCGAGCUUGAGGUUGGGAGAGGGGUGCGGAAUUCCCGGUGUAGCGGUGGAAUGCGUAGAUAUCGGGAGGAACACCAGUGGCGAAGGCGGCACCCUGGCCCACACCUGACGCUGAGGUGCGAAAGCGUGGGGAGUAAACAGGAUUAGAUACCCUCGUAC
RNAcentral lists this ribosomal RNA (439 nucleotides) under uncultured bacterium. Its description in RNAcentral is "bacterial SSU rRNA". It matches the Rfam family "Bacterial small subunit ribosomal RNA", at positions 339 to 793 of the family's 1533-position model. The record is from RNAcentral.